CAUCUUACUGGGCAGCAUUGGAUGUAACUGGUAUUCUAAUACUGCCUGGUAAUGAUGAU
Molecule: microRNA precursor, 59 nt
Filed under: Scyliorhinus torazame (cloudy catshark)
Lineage: Eukaryota; Metazoa; Chordata; Chondrichthyes; Carcharhiniformes; Scyliorhinidae
Description: Sto-Mir-8-P1a_pre stem-loop
Rfam family: mir-8/mir-141/mir-200 microRNA precursor family
About the family: The bounds of the precursors are predicted based on conservation and base pairing and are not generally known.
Source: RNAcentral